Molecule: long non-coding RNA, 739 nt
Filed under: Malus domestica (apple)
Lineage: Eukaryota; Viridiplantae; Streptophyta; Magnoliopsida; Rosales; Rosaceae
Description: long non-coding RNA (MDOM_LNC009954)
Source: RNAcentral
GAUGAACGGAUCUUUAAGGGCUUUUGGGCUUGAUCUUGAAGAACGGUUGGAUGUGUGGAUUUGUUGAUGUUUGUUGAUCCAAGGGCCGUCGGGGCUUGAUCUUGGAUGAACGGAUGAUGAACGAUGGUGCUUUCUUCAAGGGCCGUCGGGGCUUGAUCUUGGAAGAACGAUGAACGAAGAACGAAGAACGAAGAACACUUUCUUCGAGGGCCAUCUGGGCUUGAUCUUGAAGAAUAAUGAUGAACGGAUCUUCAAGGGCUUUUGUGCUUGAUCUUGAAGAUGGAUGAUUGUUGAUCCAAGGGCCGUCGGGGCUUGAUCUUGGGAUGAACAGUUGUGUGGAUUUUAUUGAUGUUGUUAAUCCAAAGGGCCGUUGGGGCUUGAUCUUAGGAUGAACAGUUGUGUGGAUUUGUUGAUGUACCUUUGGGGCUUGAUCUUAGGAUGAACAGUUGUGUGGAUUUGUUGAUGUUGUUGAUCCAAAGGGCCGUUGGGGCUUGAUCUUAGGAUGAACAGUUAUGUGGAUUUGGUGAUGUUAUUGAUCCAAAAAGGCCGUCGGGGCUUGAUCUUAGGAUGAACAGUUGUGUGUGGAUUUGUUGAUGUUAUUGAUCCAAAGGGCCGUCGGGGCUUGAUCUUAGGAUGAACAGUUGUAUGGAUUUGUUGAACACUUUCUUCAAGGGCCGUCGAGGCUUGAUCUUGAAUUGGUGGAAGUUCUUCAAGGGUCGUUGGGGCUUGAUCUUGAAGG